AUCCAAUUGACGUGUCCCAAAUAGGAUGAAAUGUGCAUUCUAGAU
This is a non-coding RNA of Schistosoma curassoni, 45 nucleotides long. The record is from Rfam. NCBI's taxonomy places the organism in Eukaryota, Metazoa, Platyhelminthes, Trematoda, Strigeidida, Schistosomatidae.